CCUACGGGUGGCUGCAGUGGGGAAUAUUGCACAAUGGGGGAAACCCUGAUGCAGCGACGCCGCGUGAGUGAAGAAGUAUUUCGGUAUGUAAAGCUCUAUCAGCAGGGAAGAAAAUGACGGUACCUGAUUAAGAAGCCCCGGCUAACUACGUGCCAGCAGCCGCGGUAAUACGUAGGGGGCAAGCGUUAUCCGGAUUUACUGGGUGUAAAGGGAGCGUAGACGGCAGCGCAAGUCUGAAGUGAAAUGCCGGGGCUUAACCCCGGAACUGCUUUGGAAACUGUGCAGCUAGAGUGCAGGAGAGGUAAGUGGAAUUCCUAGUGUAGCGGUGAAAGGCGUAGAUAUUAGGAGGAACACCAGUGGCGAAGGCAGCAUACCGGCGGCGAUCUGACGCUGAGGCACGAAAGCGUGGGUAUCGAACAGGAUUAGAUACCCUAGUAGUC
Molecule: ribosomal RNA, 440 nt
Filed under: uncultured bacterium
Lineage: Bacteria
Description: partial 16S ribosomal RNA
Rfam family: Bacterial small subunit ribosomal RNA
Source: RNAcentral